UACGGGGGGGGCUAGCGUUGUUCGGAAUUACUGGGCGUAAAGGGCUCGUAGGUGGCCAACUAAGUCAUGCGUGAAAUCCCUCGGCUUAACCGGGGAACUGCGUCUGAUACUGGAUGGCUUGAAUCCGGGAGAGGGAUGCGGAAUUCCAGGUGUAGCGGUGAAAUCCGUAGAUAUCAGGAGGAACACCGGUGGCGAAGGCGGCUGCCUGGACCGAUACUGACGCUGAGACGCGAAAGCGUGGGGAGCAAACAGG
This 253-nucleotide ribosomal RNA is filed under the name uncultured bacterium. Its description in RNAcentral is "partial 16S ribosomal RNA". It matches the Rfam family "Bacterial small subunit ribosomal RNA", at positions 524 to 776 of the family's 1533-position model. The record is from RNAcentral.